RNAcentral lists this ribosomal RNA (446 nucleotides) under uncultured bacterium. RNAcentral describes it as "bacterial SSU rRNA". It matches the Rfam family "Bacterial small subunit ribosomal RNA", at positions 329 to 792 of the family's 1533-position model. The record is from RNAcentral.
UGCCAGACUCCUACGGGAGGCAGCAGUGGGGAAUAUUGCACAAUGGGGGAAACCCUGAUGCAGCGACGCCGCGUGAGCGAUGAAGUAUUUCGGUAUGUAAAGCUCUAUCAGCAGGGAAGAAGAUGACGGUACCUGACUAAGAAGCCCUGGCUAACUACGUGCCAGCAGCCGCGGUAAUACGUAGGGGGCAAGCGUUAUCCGGAUUUACUGGGUGUAAAGGGAGCGUAGACGGCGAUGCAAGCCAGAUGUGAAAGCCCGGGGCUCAACCCCGGGACUGCAUUUGGAACUGUGUGGCUGGAGUGUCGGAGAGGCAGGCGGAAUUCCUAGUGUAGCGGUGAAAUGCGUAGAUAUUAGGAGGAACACCAGUGGCGAAGGCGGCCUGCUGGACGAUGACUGACGUUGAGGCUCGAAAGCGUGGGGAGCAAACAGGAUUAGAUACCCCGGUA